RNAcentral lists this long non-coding RNA (1949 nucleotides) under Salmo salar (Atlantic salmon). RNAcentral's name for it is "lncRNA (ENSSSAG00000105307.1)". Lineage: Eukaryota; Metazoa; Chordata; Actinopteri; Salmoniformes; Salmonidae. The record is from RNAcentral.
CUGUUAUCAAAUACACUCAACUCAUACAACAAUUGUCCCACACCAAAUCUAUAAUCCCAUCAAUUAUACAAAUAUCAAAACAAAACCAAUGCCUUCCUUCAGGUAAGAACACCAUACAUCAAUCCAGUGUCUUCCCUCAGGUAAGAACACCAUACAUAAAACCAGUGUCUUCCCUCAGGUAAGAACACCAUACAUAAAACCAGUGUCUUCCCUCAGGUAAGAACACCAUACAUAAAUCCAGUGUCUUCCCUCAGGUAAGAACACCAUACAUAAAUCCAGUGUCUUCCCUCAGGUAAGAACACCAUACAUAAAACCAGUGUCUUCCCUCAGGCGUCUGCUUACCUUAUAAUUUGAUGCGCUGCACAGUGGGAUGAAGAUCAUCCAGACGCAGUGGUCACUCACUCCUGGCAAGCUCGCCAUAUGUUGGUUGGUCCUUUGCAUGGAGUGAUCAAAGAUCAGGAAGGUGGUAUCCUUCUUUCAUAAAAGCACAACUGCUGCACAUGUUUUCAAGACAAAACAGGAGAUGCUGGAGCUGCCAAACCACAAACUAAUCCAAGAUGUUCCUACUAGAUGGAAUUCAAGCCAUGACAUGGCUGAGAGAUACCUUGAGCAGAAAGUUGCGGUGUAUUCUACACUGACUGAUCAAGCUGUGAGGAUGAAUGUCAAAGAUAUUGUGACUGUCUGAAAAUAACAUAAGACUAGCAGAGGAAGUUAUCAAAGUGUGCAAACCUCUCAAAACAGUCACAACACUGAUAUGCACUGAGAGCCUUCCAUCAGUUUCCAUGGUCCUGCCUAUGAAAACAAUGAUCCUGAAAUCAAUGGUGUCAUCUGAUGAAGAUGAACCCGCAUUAAGGGAUGUCAAGACUGCUAAUCAGAGUUAACCUGGAGCCUAGAUAUGCUGGCCGUGGUGUCCAAGACUUCUUACACAAGAGCACCGCUUUGAACCCCCGGUUCAAGUCCCUGCUGCACCUGGAUGCUGCUGCUCGUCAGAGUCUACAAUGAACUCACAGCAGAGAUUUUGACCAAUAUACAACAAGGUCAAGCCACAGAUACCACAGGAGCCAACCCCUCUCCAGAGACGGCAGACGACAGGGGUUCUCCUCCAGAAAAAAAGUCUGCCAUGGUUGAGCUUUUUGGUGAGUUGUUCACGACCCAGGAGCAGGGAACCAAGUCAAGGUCAUAGAGGAGGAGGUGACCUCAUACAGGGAGUGGACUGUAUUCCCCUGGAUGCUGAUCCACUUACAUGGUGGAAGACCAAAGAGUUAAUAUACCCUCAGGUUACCAUGUUAGCAAGACACUACCUGGCUGUGCCUGGGACCUCUGUCCCUAGCGAGCGGGUAUUCUCCACAGUGGCUGACAUUGUCACAGCAAGCCGAUCUGUGCUCACUGCAGAUAAUGUGGAUAGACUAAUGUUCUUAAAGAAAAACUUGAAAAUCUGAUAAAGUUACAUUUUUUUCAAGUAACCAGUCUCAAGUGGUCCUAUUUUGUUUAAGGCACUGCUAUGUGACUUAAUGUUGAUAUAUGCUGCUGGACUAUGCACUCUUGUUGAAGUUCUGUUUUAAAUGACUUUUAUUUCAUGUUAUAAGGCAGGCACUGCUGUUUUUUGUUGUCCCUUUGUUUCCAUAUGCUCCUGGGAAUUCAAGCCAGCUGUAACGAGUGCGCUGAGAGUCGGGAAGCAAGUUCAGGGAGUGAAAACAUUUCAUUAGUAAAUCAAGAAACACAAACGGCCCACCGACAUAAAACAGGAACAAUGACGACUGGGGAAGAAACCAAAGGGAGUGACAUAUAAAGGGCAGGUAAUCAAUGAGGUGAUGGAGUCCAGGUGAGUGUCAUUAUGCACCUAACGCUGGUGACAGGUGUGUGUGCCCUAACAAGCAGCCUGGUGACCUAGAGGCUGGAGAGGGAGAACACGUGACACUACCCAUGUAUACUAUUAUAAUAAAUGGAAA